This 275-nucleotide ribosomal RNA is filed under the name uncultured prokaryote. Its description in RNAcentral is "partial 16S ribosomal RNA". It matches the Rfam family "Bacterial small subunit ribosomal RNA", at positions 524 to 798 of the family's 1533-position model. The record is from RNAcentral.
CACUGGGGUUGCGAGCGUUGUCCGGAAUUACUAGGCGUAAAGGGCAGGCAGGCGGAUCCAUAAGUUUAUCGUUUAAGGCGUCGGCUUAACCGGCGUAGGGCGGUAGAUACUGUGGAUCUGGAAUGCGGUUGGGGAAGACAGAAUUCCUGGUGUAGCGGUGGAAUGCGCAGAGAUCAGGAGGAAUACCGAAGGCGAAGGCAGUCUUCCAAGCCGUUAUUGACGCUCAACUGCGGAGGUGUGGGUAUCAAACAGGAUUAGAUACCCUGGUAGUCCCU